Molecule: ribosomal RNA, 468 nt
Filed under: uncultured bacterium
Lineage: Bacteria
Description: partial 16S ribosomal RNA
Rfam family: Bacterial small subunit ribosomal RNA
Source: RNAcentral
GACGAACGCUGGCGGCGUGCUUAACACAUGCAAGUCGAACGGAAAGGCCCUGCUUUUGUGGGGUGCUCGAGUGGCGAACGGGUGAGUAACACGUGAGUAACCUGCCCUUGACUUUGGGUUAACUUCAGGAAAUUGGGGCUAAUACCGGAAAGGAGUUCCUGCUGCAUGGUGGGGGUGGGAAAGUUUCGGCGGUUGGGGAUGGACUCGCGGCUUAUCAGCUUGUUGGUGGGGUAGUGGCUUACCAAGGCUUUGACGGGUAGCCGGCCUGAGAGGGUGACCGGCCACAUUGGGACUGAGAUACGGCCCAGACUCCUACGGGAGGCAGCAGUGGGGAAUAUUGCACAAUGGGCGGAAGCCUGAUGCAGCAACGCCGCGUGCGGGAUGACGGCCUUCGGGUUGUAAACCGCUUUCGCCUGUGACGAAGCGUGAGUGACGGUAAUGGGUAAAGAAGCACCGGCUAACUACGUG